Molecule: long non-coding RNA, 1348 nt
Organism: Numida meleagris (helmeted guineafowl)
Lineage: Eukaryota; Metazoa; Chordata; Aves; Galliformes; Numididae
Exons: 4
Source: RefSeq, a predicted model, not a curated record
CAGAGCGCUCCGCAAUUAGAUUAACUGGCAAUUGUUGUUCCUCCUUGUGCAGCCUCAGAACCCUGCGAGGAAGGGAAUGGCCACUCGAUGAAAACACAGCAUUUGGAAAGGUUAGCGUGGACAGUGAGACCUGCCCAAUCAGGCAAGGUGUGUUGUUUCUGUUGUUUUAUCAUCAUGAAUCAAACUUGGAAAAGACCAAACUGAGGAAGAACACACAUCAAUUGAUAGAGCUAUGGCUGUAACAAGAAACAAAAAAAGUGAGAGAUGCCUUUAGUUUCCUGCUUUAUAUUUCAGGUGUGUAUUUGCAGCUAAUUAAAGCCCAUCCCCUGGGCUGCAGCUGGUGGCUUUACAAAUGGAAGGAAAGUGCCUGCAGCAUAGUAGCUAGUGUAAUGUCUGUUUGAAUUUGGAAAUGUUUAACCUACCUCAAUAGUAGAUGAAGUGUUUUAUAGCGUGUGGUCCACGGGAACACUUAAAAUGAAUUUCUGCAUGCUGGAAUGCUCUUUCAGUGCAUUGAAAGAGGUGAAGGUGGUGAUUAAAGCAAAUUGGAAAGCCCUGGGCACUCUUAUUGCUUCAGCCUCAGGGCUGUGCAGAUGACUUCUUUGCUUCUCAGCAACCAGGUACAGGGUCCUGAUGCUCAUUUGCCAGUAACUUUUGGUGAUUCCUAUAUGACUACAAGCUAAUGACUGAAGAUUCUUUUAAGUAACAAUACGUGGAAACAACGAUUUCUAAUGAAAACCGUCAGUAUUCAAAAUAGGCGAAGCCUCUUGUUCUAUUCAUGUUCCAUGUGAAACUUGAAGUCCCAUUGAAGGCUGCAGUGGUGCAAAAAGCUCUUCCUCUGUGGAAAAUUCAGAUCAGAAAGAAUCCGAGAAAAAUACUUGAGGAAAGCUUCUUGCUCUGAAAAUAUGUGCAUCUUGAAAAAGCAAAUAUGAUGACGUACUGUCCUGUAUCCCAGCGUACACAAGCAAAUGCGUGGACAGGUUGUUCUGAUACGGAGAAAACACUCCUGUUCUACUGAGGCAGAUAACAACCAGCACAGCAAGGUAAAGGGAGUUCUAUGCUCCUCUUUAAGACCGUGUGGGAGUGCUGUUUUCCAUGAACAUUCUUGUUCUUUCCCAGUCACCUUUGUGAAACACAAAGCCUAGGAGCCCUAGUUCUCCUUAGAGGCAGAUGGCUACUCAGCUACUGAAGUCAACAGCAUAAACUUGAUAUUUACCUUUCACAGUGAAAUACUUCUUUCACUUUCUCUUGUGAUUAGCAGGGAAAGUGUUUUUUUUUGUUUGUUUGUUUUAAUUAAUAAUAUUUGGUGUGUUUUACUGAACACUGUAUUGCAUAUAUUUUUAGAACUUAA